GGGCCAGUAGCUCAGUUGGCAGAGCACCGGACUUUUAAUCCGGGUGUCGCAGGUUCGAGACCUGCCUGGCCCA
Molecule: transfer RNA, 73 nt
Filed under: Actinomycetota bacterium
Lineage: Bacteria; Bacillati; Actinomycetota
Description: Actinobacteria bacterium tRNA-Lys
Rfam family: tRNA
About the family: Transfer RNA (tRNA) molecules are approximately 80 nucleotides in length. Their secondary structure includes four short double-helical elements and three loops (D, anti-codon, and T loops).
Source: RNAcentral